This is a long non-coding RNA of Musca vetustissima, 194 nucleotides long. RefSeq lists it as uncharacterized. The record is from RefSeq and is a predicted model, not a curated record. Lineage: Eukaryota; Metazoa; Arthropoda; Insecta; Diptera; Muscidae. The transcript has 3 exons.
CAGCAAACCCCUGUACGCAGUCGUAGUCAACCUAGACGCCCUGAACCAGAACAGGAAGAUAAUUGGCGUUCAUCUGGCCCGAUACGUGCCCCAUCCCGUGAUCGCAGUUCAUAUGAACGGGAACAGCCACGUGCCAAACCACCCAUGCGCCGCCAAGGUACCGAAGAAUUCAAUUUGGACGAUGAAGGCCAGCC